RNAcentral lists this ribosomal RNA (497 nucleotides) under uncultured bacterium. Its description in RNAcentral is "partial 16S ribosomal RNA". It matches the Rfam family "Bacterial small subunit ribosomal RNA", at positions 28 to 507 of the family's 1533-position model. The record is from RNAcentral.
GAUGAACGCUGGCGGCGUGCCUAAUACAUGCAAGUCGAGCGAACAGACGAGGAGCUUGCUCCUCUGACGUUAGCGGCGGACGGGUGAGUAACACGUGGAUAACCUACCUAUAAGACUGGGAUAACUUCGGGAAACCGGAGCUAAUACCGGAUAAUAUAUUGAACCGCAUGGUUCAAUAGUGAAAGACGGUUUUGCUGUCACUUAUAGAUGGAUCCGCGCCGCAUUAGCUAGUUGGUAAGGUAACGGCUUACCAAGGCAACGAUGCGUAGCCGACCUGAGAGGGGGAUCGGCCACCCUGGAACUGAGACACGGUCCAGACUCCUACGGGAGGCAGCGGUAGGGAAUCUUCCGCAAUGGGCGAAAGCCUGACGGAGCAACGCCGCGUGAGUGAUGAAGGUCUUCGGAUCGUAAAACUCUGUUAUUAGGGAAGAACAAAUGUGUAAGUAACUAUGCACGUCUUGACGGUACCUAAUCAGAAAGCCACGGCUAACUACGUG